UACGUAGGGUGCGAGCGUUGUCCGGAAUUACUGGGCGUAAAGAGCUCGUAGGUGGUUUGUCGCGUUGUUCGUGAAAACUCACAGCUUAACUGUGGGCGUGCGGGCGAUACGGGCAGACUGGAGUACUGCAGGGGAGACUGGAAUUCCUGGUGUAGCAGUGGAAUGCGCAGAUAUCAGGAGGAACACCGGUGGCGAAGGCGGGUCUCUGGGCAGUAACUGACGCUGAGGAGCGAAAGCGUGGGGAGCGAACAGG
Molecule: ribosomal RNA, 253 nt
Filed under: uncultured bacterium
Lineage: Bacteria
Description: partial 16S ribosomal RNA
Rfam family: Bacterial small subunit ribosomal RNA
Source: RNAcentral